UUCACGCGCUCUAUGAUGAUGAUAUAUUGUCUAUAUUUAAACACAGAAUACUACAUUCCCUCCUUCCUUUAGAUGAAAGGAAUCAUGUCUUUAUAUCUUGAUGAUGGCUUGACGACUCUUCCACUCCUGGUGAUCACUGGUUCCUUGGUAGUCGGCAAGGGUGGAGAAACCUCUGGUGGCAACUGGUGAAGAGCCUCGGCAUCAAGUCAAUCUGAAACAACUGGGUUAAAUGUAGACCCUGUUCUACUUGAACUUGGUCGGUUUAAAGAAGUGUCCUUGUCUUGGUUUGAGGAAUUAUCAUCUGGUAUUUGUACAUCAGAAGAGUUGAGGUGUUCAAUUCUUGUUGAAUCUGAACUAAGAUUUUCCUGGCUCUCUUCUGGAAUCAAGUCAGAAAUUCCUUGAUUGGUCUCUUGAGUAGGAACAUGUUUCAAAUGUUUAGCAUUUCUAUGAAUUAUUUUCCCAUUUUUAGUGUUGACUAAUUUAAAAGAAUUUAUUGAAGUGUUUUCAAGAAUGACAUGUUGUUCUGAUCUGAAAUUUGAAUCAAGUUUUCCAUUAUUUGGAUUUGCCACAUAAGCUAAAUUUCCAAUUUCAAAAUUAUGAGGACUAGCUUUCCGAAUUAUAUCAUUAUAUGUUUUCAAUUUUUCUUUGUAGACCAUAUUGAAUUCUUUGAUGUUGGAUUCAUCUUCUUCUGCAUCAAUAACAAGUGAGCUUAAUUUAGUUUUGAUUUCUCUUGAAAAUAAUAGGAAUGCUAGAGUCUUUCCUGUAGAUCUGUUUGGAGUAGUUCGGUAUGACAUUAAAAUUCUGGAUAAAUCUUCUUUCCAAUCUUUCCCUUCUUCAGAACUUGAAUUGAAUUGUUUCUUUAGAAAUCUAUGGAAUCUUUCUAUCUUCCCAUUACUUUUUGGGUAAUAGGGUGAGGCUUUGAUGUGCCUCUGAUUCCACAUUCUUUUAAAAAUCUUUCCAUUGAUGUACUUACAAACUAUGAGCCAUUAUCUGUUACAACUUCAUGUGGAUAACCAUGUCUUGCAAAAAUCUCCAUCAAUUUUUUUUAAUAAUUGUCUUGCUGGAAAUGUCUUCUAUUAUCAUUGCUUCAGGAUAUGAAGAAUAGUAGUCGAUCACUGUUAAAACAUAAUGAUGGCCAGUUGGACCAACUAUGUCAAUUCCAAGUUUCAUCCAAGGUUUUGAUGGUAACGGAACUAUUUGCAAUGGUUGAUCAUUUAUCAAUGGUUGAUUCCUUACACAAAUUGGACAGUUUCUUAUUAAAUUUUCAAUGUCAAAGUCCAUGUUUAUCCAAAAAUAAUUUUCUCUUAACAGUUGUUUGGUUCUUGUCAUUCCUUGAUGUGUUUCAUGUGCAAUUCUCAAGACUCUCUUUAUUAGUUUUGAAGGUAGCAAAAUUCUAUUUCCUUUUAAGAUAAGAUUAUCAAAAAUUGAGAGUUCAUCUUUAAACUUAUAAAAAAAUUUGAAUUCUUCAUUCAAAGGAUAUGGCCAAACUCCCUUUUGAACCAUCUCUUUCAGUUUUUGAAACAAAGGAUCUUGCUCUGUACAAACUUUUAUCUCUUUCAAAGACAGUGCUUGAAGCUCUUCAGAAGUGAUGGAUAAGACUUUAUGAACAUAGUCCUCCAGCCAUUUUUCAUCACUUGUGUUAGAAAGAGGUUGUCUUGAAAAUAUAUCUGCAAUAUUUUGCUUUCCUUGAAUGAAUUCAAUUUCAAAGUCAUAAGGUUGUAAUCUCCAACUCAAUCUUUGAAUUCUUGGAGGCAAAACAGCUCCAUUUUUAGGAUUCAGCAUAUAGAUUAGAGGUUUGUGAUCUGUUUUUAACACAAAUUUCCUUCCUCAAAUAUAGGUGUUAAAAUGCUCAAUUGCCCAUACACAUCCCAAUGUCUCUUUUUCUAUUUGUGAAUAUCUUUUUUCAGUAUCAGUUAAGGAUCUGCCGGCAUAUGCAAUGGGUCUUUUAAUGCCAUUCUGUUGUGUUUGUAUUAAUACUGCUCCAAGACCUAUAGGGCUUGCAUCUGUGAUUAAUUCAGUUGGUGAGUUCAAGUUGUAAUAUGCCAAGCAUGGCUCUUUUGUUAGUGACUCUUUAAGAUCCUGAAAUGCUUUAUUUGUUUUCAAAUCCCAAUUCCACCUAACAUUUUUUCUAGUCAAAUUAUUUAGAGGUUCUGCCAAUUUAGAAAAAUUAGGUAUGAAUUUUCUUAAAACCCCACAAGUUCCUAAGAAUGACCUUAACAUCUCAAUAUUUUUUGGUAUUGGAAAAUUUAAGGCUGCUUCUAUUUUCCUAUUAUCAGGUUUAAUACCUUCACUACUAACAAUGUGACCUAAAAUAUCCAAUUCUUCCAUGGCAAAUUUGCACUUAUUCCUGUUGAGCCUAAUGCCUACUUUAUCAAAUCUUUGUAAGACUUUUCUAAGCCUUUCUUCUAGUUCUUGUCUAUCUUUGGCGUAAACUACGACAUCGUCCAAGUAACAAAUUACUCCUUUCAAAUCAAGCAAAAUUGAAUCCAUUCAUUUCUGAUAUGCCUCUGGAGCACUUGAUAGACCAAAAGGAACUUUACAAAAUCUGUAACAACCACGGUGCGUGAUGAAAGUUGUAAGGGGUCUUGAUUGAGGGUCUAAGUCAACCUGCCAAAACCCUUUUUUUGCAUCCAGCUUUGCAAAUACUUUAGCACCUUUAAGGGCAUGUAACAUAUUGUCAAUUGUAGGAAUUGGAUGUCUUUCUCUCAAUAUUGCUUUAUUCACUUCCCGAAGGUCUAUGCAUAGUCUAAUUUCCUCACUAUCCCUUUUUGGAACAACUAUUAUGUUAGAAACCCAUUCAGAACCUUGAUGCACUUCUUCAAUGAUUCCAUUCUCUAGCAUCUUAUCAAGCUCUUGGUUUACUGCUUCUACCAUUGCAUAAGGUAUAUGACGGCAUCUCUGGGCAAUGGGCCUAUAGUUGUAUUUCAAUGUCACUUUAUGACUAUAGCCUUUUAUAGUUCCAAGUCCAUGGAAAAGAUGUUCAUGUUCUUGAACAAGAGUUUCUAUAUUAUUAGACAUUGAAUCAUUUACAUGAUUUACCCUUUUAAUUAUACCUAGUUCAAAACUAGCCUUGCCUCCCAACAAAGAUUCAACUUUUUUAUCAAUCACAUAAAUUUCUUCAGAAAUUGGAUUUUCUUUCCAAGAAAUCACAGCAUUGAAAUAACCAUAACAUGGAAGAGGUCUAUCUUGACCAUAGGCAAAAAAGGUUCGGGUGGUGUCAUGUAAUUUUGGCAUAAUUUUAUGGCCAUAUAAUUCAAGCAUCUUAUCAUAGCUUAUGAAAGUUCUAUCACUCCCUGUAUCAAUUAUCAUAUUUAUUUUACUACCAUCUAUUUGCACUUUUUCUUUAUUUUCAGCACCUGUAUAGUAGGUAUAUUCAUCUGAACUUUCACCUACUUCAGUCUUAUUUUCUUCUUGUAUGGUUUUUACUUUAGUUUGAUUGAAACUUUUGUGGUUUAUAUUAUUAUUUUGAUUUGGGCGUUUCCUGCAAGCUCUAAAAAGAUGUCCUAAUUUAUUGCAAUAUGAACAAGUCAUUUUUUUAGCACCACAUUCUUGUGCUGAAUGUGUAUCUAAUCCACAGCGAUAACAUUUAGGCUUUGAGGCACCUGAAAAUGAUGGGGUACCUUGAUUAGUGAAUCUACCUUUGUUGAAAUUAUUAGCAUUAUAGUGCUUUUUAGGUUUAAUUUGAACUCUAUUUAGUGUUUGAUCAUUUUGAGGUUCAAGAAGUCUAAUUUCUUUUCUAGAAAUUUCUAACAUUCUAGCAAUAUCAAUGGUUUUUGACAGUGUCAAAUUUUCUUGUUGCAACAAUUUUUCUUUAAGUUUUUUGUUGUUACAUUUUUCAAUUAUUUGGUCUCUUAUCAUAUCAGCUUCUAAAUUUCCAAAUUCACAAGAUUUAGAAAGCUCUCUUAAAGAAAUUAGGUAGUUGUCGAUCGAUUCAUCAUCUUUCUGGACUCUUUGUCUAAAUUUAAAUCUCUCAGUGACCACAUUUUUAUGAGGUGUGACAUAUUUAUCUAAAGCCAUUUUAGUUUGUUCAUAAUUUUUCUUUUCAUCUGGCAAAUUGAAAAAUAUACGUUGUACAUUUGGCCCUAAACAAUGCAAUAGAGUUGCUCUCUUUAUUUCAUCCGAUUUUUUUUUAAAUUCCUGAUGCUAUUUCAAAAAUGGCAUAGGAUUCCAUCCAUUGCUUAUAUUCCGCAAAUAAAUUGCUAGCAUUCAUAUUCAUGGGUAAAGGUGGCGUCAGGUUGGCUGCCAUACUUGUUUUUUAGGGCUACAGUUAUAUUUUCAAAUUCUCGUCGCCAAUUUAUGUUGUAUAUAGUUAUUAUUUAAUUUAUUAAUUAGACAUUACUCACCAGAUGAAAUUAUUUUAUUCCAAUUAUAUAUAUUUAAAAGGGUACAGUUAUUUUAUUUUACAAUUUUCUUUAUAUUAGAAUCCAAUGUUUUUCGCUUCACGCGCUCUAUGAUGAUGAUAUAUUGUCUAUCUUUAAACAAUGAAUACUACACACAAUAUUUAAAAAUUAUGCAUUCGCGCGACAUCUGUAAUGAGAAGAUGAAACCAUUAUCGACGCGUAUGAUUCUUUUAAAAGUAAACAAUUAUCUCUACUGCCCUUACUGUAAUGUUAAAUUAAUUAGAGGGCCUGACUUAUUGGUGGUGAACUCUUCCAGAGGUUCACCACUGAUGAGCCAGACCCUUCCAUUAAUUUAUCAUUACAGUAAGGGCAGUAGAGAUAAUUGUUUACUUUUAAAAGAAUCAUACGCGUCGAUAAUGGUUUCGAAUUCUUAUAAUAUGCAAAUACAAGGAAAUAUUAUCUCUAUAAGCGUAAUUCCUUUUUUAUAUAAAUAAAAUACAAUUCGCUGAGAUAAGAAUUUCCACUUUUUUAUCACGACAAUACAAGCUUUCGUAACAGCUCUUCAACAGUAUUUUUAGUAUCGUGAUUACUUAUACCUUUUGUUAAGAUUUGGAAAUAAUUUCAAAAUUUAUAUAUGUUAUAAAAUAUUUCUGAUGAUUUUAGAAUAAUUUUGAGAUAUGGAAUUAUUAUUUGCUGAUUGCUUUGAGUUCGUAAACAUUUUGGUACUGGUUUGUAGUCGUGAUAUUUUGAAAAUAUAAUAAAUCAAUUUAUAUCACAAUUUUCUUUAAUUGUGACAAUGAAACAAUUUAGGAAAAGAAAACCAAUUUGAGGCGUAAAUAAUAAAAUAAAACUUUAAAUACGUAUUUACAUAAUUACAAAAUGAUUGUAAAACGACGUUUGCAAGUUUUACAGCAAAUGUUUCUUUUGUGAACGAAAAAUCGUAAUUUAUUUUAAGGAGAAAUAACGACUAUUUAUUAACACAAAGCAAUAACGCGCCAUCUAUACAUAUAAAAUAAAGGAUUUAAAAGCACGAAUGUUUCUUUUAUACAUAAUACAAACUUCUACUAACCUUACUGCGAUGAAAAAAUAUAUUGGGAGGGCUUGGUUAAUCAGUGGUGAACCCUCCCAGCGGUUUCGCCAAUUUAAUUUACCAGACCGCUUCUCAGAGCUCUAAUACUGUAUUGGACGAUUCUGCUUAUAUACGCAGCACUGAAGGGUGGAAUCUCAGAAAUGGUUUUCAAGAAAACUAUGGACAUAAGCCUAUAGGACAGUAGAAUUACAUUCAAAUAUUUGCAUCGAGCAAUGCUCUUCCGCAAACAAUUAAGACAAGGUCAGUUAGGCAUAAAUUAACACAAAGCAAUAACGCGCCAUCUAUACAUAUAAAAUGAAAGGAUUUAAAAGCACGAAUGUUUCUUUUAUACAUAAUACAAACUUCAAUUUUCUAUUAAACGACUAUUUAUAUCAAUGAAUAUAUGAAGUAUAUAGUAUAUAUGGUAAUUUAGCCAACAACCCCAUAUUGUAUAUAACUUAUAACAAGAUUUUAAUGUUGUAUAGUAGAAACACAUCUGUAAAUGAUUAUACGCAUGAUUGACAUGUGUCAUUACAUCAUCAUAUGUAAUGUAAUUUGUACAAACUGAGGAUAAAUAAAUAAAACUCUGUAAUAGAUUAAGAGUUGAGCUAAGCAAGAGAUAGAAGUCAUAACGUCUAAAAUCGAGAUAGAUUUAGAAUUCCCACAACAAGGUCUAAAAAUGGAAACUGCCACGGCGCCAGUAGAAUUUCACCAGACGAUCCACGCCCCCUCUCACAUCUGGUGAAAUGCAAAACCCCCUUUCUCAGAAAAGGUACAUAAAGCCCCCGUCCUAGCUAAAAAUACAGUUAGUUUACCAUCUGCGCGAGCCCUCGUCGGUUGUACCUCAGGUCCAUCUCAUCCAUCAUGUAGACCAGUAAGGAACUUCUAUCUCCCCAUCUUUCGCUCCUAGCUCAACUUUUAUCUGUUUACGGAACUUUCUUAGUGCAACUGUGUCUUCGUUUUUUGUGUGGACAUUCCCAAGCUUUCCACUCUGCCUCGACCAUGACUGCCUGUACUUUGUGAGAACUUUUAAAGGUCUUCCAAGGUGCAGAGAGGUACUGGAAAACUCCCCAUCCUGACUGUUCCUCUCGGUCAACACAGUAUAGCGAGAGUCAACACUUCAUCAUCACAUAUAUAUACCCAUUUCUUGGUUUCUCAAGAAGCCUCUGGGAACAAAAAUAUUUUUGGUCACAGUGGUACAGCCUACUCCACGCUGACGAGCACCAACAGCGCGAAACACGUUCGUGGAUGGCUUUUCUUGAUUUAUAAAGAAAUUGGGUUGGCCAAAUAUCACGGAGCAAGCUAAAUCAAUGUUUAAUUGAUUUCUGUUCCACUAGAUGGCGCUCUGCCUUCUGUAAAGCACGUGUGCUCCUGGUCAGGAUAUGCCUUUUUAUUUUAAAUAAAUAUUUAUUUUUUCUUCAUAUUGUCACGUAUAAGGUCUCGGAAUAACUACAACCUCCGCCAAUAGAUGGCGCUUUCGCCUGUUUCCGAUCUGAAACUGGUGUGGGAUCGCCGACUGCUGUGGUCCUGUUUCCUGGGGAAAAUGUUUGUAAAUACACUUUUAUAUUGGCCCUAGGAGGUGACAUAAUGUAAAUACCUGUUGUUUAUUAUUCCAGUUAUAUGUAAUGUUUAGUAGUAAAUGACAAUAAAGAGUAGUGUUUGAAGUCUCGGUGCCGCCUGCUGUUGUUCCUCUCGCCAUCGCCACAUUGCUGCUGCUACUCUUCUGGUAAGUUUCUCGUGUCCCCCCACCAGUGGUAAGGCCGAGAGAUACUGCCAGAGGAAAGGAGUUCCACUUGAGCGGUGGUUCUCGGAGGUCCUUGGGUGCUCUGCAGGGUAGAGCUGCAGAGGGAGAGCAACGAGAGCCCGGGUAGGUGAUCCACGGCGGAAAAAGCGGCGUCGUCGCGAAGAACCGCGGAGGGCUCAGCCGCGACAAUAUAUAUGUCUUUUUUUUUAUAUAUUUCACAUUUAUCUUUAUAUUGGCGGAAAAGACGCACGAUUUCGAUGUACUUAUACAAUAUCACUGACCUGUAGAAGAGCAUCGGCUCAAAAGUCUUUUUCACAAGUAAAAAAAAAAACACACACACACACACUUCACCCAACAGUCUAAUGUAUUUAGUUAAAUAAGCAAUCAGUGAUUUAUGUUGGUAUAUAUGCAAAUCUCGGUCAUUGAAAUCUCUAUUAGACUCAAUUUCUUCUUCCGUGAUCAACGUUUCGGGGGAUAAAGCGGGAAAGGAUAGAAUAUAUAUAAAUAUCAUAAUGAUAACUAUCUCCGCCUUUGCCGGUCCCAAGCCCGGAUGAAAAAGGAGGAGAGGGAGCAGUAAUAAGCUCACUAAAAAACCUGGGUUCAGCUGGCCAUGCUAAUAGUACCCUGUAAGGGGGCUCCAGGGAUACAGGAUGUGCAGCGUUUGUACUCCAUGUUAGGAACGGCUGCACAUGGUGUCUGUUCCUCAUGCCAGAGGUGGUCAUUUCUUUUGAAGUUAAGUCAACCUGCCACUGAGUAGUGCUCCCAGUCUUAAUGACAAAGGCAGACGUAUUCUACUUCACCUAGUCAUGAAUGAUUGAGUGGAGAUAAGAAAGAAGAAGAUAAUGAUAACUAAUAUUGCUACUUUAUAUUUCGUCACAUAGAAAAAACUGGAAAGGAACCAAAUUCCAGGAUGACAAUUUAUUUUGAUCCAAACAAUCGUAUACCUUGUUUACAUAAUGGAAAGGGAGGCACUGAGAUAAAUAGGCUUAAAAAGAAGUGAAUGAAGAUAAUAUAGUUUAUAUACCGUAUCACAGAGAGAGAGAGAGAGAGAGAGAGAGAGAGAGAGGCAAACGAAAAAGGAGGCUCUGCCAGACUUAUUCUACAUUGGCUCAAUAUAUGAUCCCUAUNNNNNNNNNNNNNNNNNNNNNNNNNNNNNNNNNNNNNNNNNNNNNNNNNNNNNNNNNNNNNNNNNNNNNNNNNNNNNNNNNNNNNNNNNNNNNNNNNNNNAUAUCGAUAUAGAAGUUUGUCUUUUUUAUAAUAUGAUGCACUAGCGCGCCAUCUGUUAUCAAAAUUCGAAACUAUUUUAAAGGCGUAAGAUUCUAUUUGAAAAUAAACAAUUUCUACUGCCCUUACUGCAAUGGAAAACCACUCCUCCCAUUAAUUUUUCCAUUGCAGUAAGGGCAGUAGAAAUUGUUUAUUUUCAAAAAGAAUCUUACGCUUUUAAAAUAGUUUCGAAUUUUGAUUGUCUUUUUUAUUUCAACAUUUAUAUAUAUUAAUAUAUAUGAUACAUUUGAGACAUUAUUACAAUGUCCAUAUAAGAUUAUAUUGUACCAAGUGAAAGAAAAAAAUUAUAUUACAGAGUAAAAGAAAGUAAUAAAUAUAUAUAAAUGUAUAAAUAUUUACAUCAGACAUCUCUGAAGGGACAUCUGAAUCGUGUCAAAUGCUCAAAGCCGCCCUGAAUUCGGAAAGGCCGGUGCUUAUAACGGUGUUUUUGUCCCCAACGUGCUCAAUUGCAUCGCCGAGGAAUUCUUACAGAAUUUUCCUGUUUCCAGGC
Molecule: non-coding RNA, 8927 nt
Filed under: Cordylochernes scorpioides
Lineage: Eukaryota; Metazoa; Arthropoda; Arachnida; Pseudoscorpiones; Chernetidae
Source: RNAcentral